GGGCGCGAAGCCACUUUGCCGUGAAAGGACGCGGAAACGUAUGCGCAAUAUGCCUGCGAGGAAAGCGAUCAACGCCGCAAUCGCGGCUGGAAAACACUGACGUUUUCAUCCGGAGGAUGUACAGCGCACAAAGACCGAUCGACUGAAACGCCUUCAACUCUCAAGUCAAAGACAUGGACAGCUUGCUUGGGAAAUACCUCUUCGGGGUGGUUGCUGCCGUGCUCGCUAUGCUGAUCAUGGCCCCAAAUGAAGCUGGGGCAAUUCCACCUGAAGUCCUCUUAACCUUGGGACGAAAUGAAGAGCAUGUCGAGUAACGAAGCAUCAGUCUUCGGGAUACAGUGCUGCUGGUUGGCGUUCCAUUGACGACACCUGCUACGUAACUGAAUAAAAUUAAUGAAGCAAAAUACCCUGGAAUGAAUAAACUGGACAUUAUUGGAGACAAACUCACUUUUC
This is a long non-coding RNA of Dermacentor andersoni, 453 nucleotides long. RefSeq lists it as uncharacterized. Lineage: Eukaryota; Metazoa; Arthropoda; Arachnida; Ixodida; Ixodidae. The record is from RefSeq and is a predicted model, not a curated record.